UAACAAAACGACCAACUCUAUCAACAAUGCGAGGAUUUUUAUCAAAAAUAAUCGAAUAACCGUAAUCCUGAAGUUGAGAUACCGAAAGUAAAUUACAAGUUAAAUCCGAAACUGAACCGAAUUCCGGAUAUUUAAACGUACCAGCGAUCAUCGCAGCAGCGGGUCGAGGUUUCACCGGACCAGAAUUAUUUGUCGUAGCAUUAUUUGAAUUUUGCUCAGACGUUCCAGCACCAUUAGAAUUUUGACGACGAUUGUUGGCUUCGUCGCCGUAUCUCGGACACAAGCGACCUAUAUGUCCGUUGCCAUUACAACGAUAACAAACCAGAGGACCCUUCGGCGAUGCAUUUUUACGAAAAUCGCCAGAAUUAUUCCUACACGACGAAGCGAUAUGCCCGAAUUUUUUACAUUUGUAACAUUUUUUACCGUUAUUCGAAUUACGUUUAUCUUUAUCGUUUUUAGGUUUACCUUCGACAUUAUUGGCAACCAUAGCGGCACCUUUCGCUUGAGACGUACCUGAUGUAUUAGACGAGGUUCCUUUUUUCUCAUCAAACGUUUUGAGAAGCGAUACGAUUAAACUUGAAUCUGCCGAAGAUGUAUGCAGAGCCGUUCGUGCUGACGUACAGAUGCUAUCAAACCGAGGUUUAUCCUUCAACCCAUUAAGGUUUUAAACUUGUCCACAUCUAGACGCGCUAAAGACGUACGGGCUUCUAAAACCUGAACAUCAUUCACGAUUCCAUAACGUUUUUCGAGUUCAUCCAUCAACAGUUUUGCCGAGGAAUCUUCUCUACACAGCUUAAAAACGGAAUCGUCUAAAUGACGCAGUAUCAACCCAUAAGCCUUAGCAAUGUCUUUCGGUUGAGCCCUAGCCUCGUCAUCAAUACAACCUAAUAAAUCCUUUGCACGUAAAAUCGCCAACAUACGGCGUUUCCAUAAUGGAAAAUUAUACCCCUUAAAAAUAGCGCUAACUUCAACCUUAUCCCCUGACAUUUCGAAAUUUUUUAACGAAUUACUACUUAACGUUGAAUCGUCGCUCGAAUACCCUUUUUCGUCGUCAGAAUUUUCGUUACUCUCGUCACUACUUUCUUGGUUUUGAUCACCCAAAUCACCGUCGUU
Long non-coding RNA from Planococcus citri (citrus mealybug), 1113 nucleotides. RefSeq lists it as uncharacterized. The transcript has 3 exons. The record is from RefSeq and is a predicted model, not a curated record. Lineage: Eukaryota; Metazoa; Arthropoda; Insecta; Hemiptera; Pseudococcidae.